RNAcentral lists this ribosomal RNA (37 nucleotides) under Nakataea oryzae. Its description in RNAcentral is "partial 28S ribosomal RNA". The record is from RNAcentral. Lineage: Eukaryota; Fungi; Ascomycota; Sordariomycetes; Magnaporthales; Magnaporthaceae.
CCAGCCGCUAAACCCCCUAAUUUUCUUAGGUGACCUC